AACGUAGGAGACAAACGUUAUCCGGAGUUACUGGGCGUAAAGGGCGUGUAGGCGGUUGGUUAAGUCUGGCGUGAAAGCUCUCGGCUAAACCGGGAGAGGUCGUUGGAUACUGGCCGACUAGAGGACGGUAGAGGCGUGUGGAAUUCCGGGUGUAGUGGUGAAAUGCGUAGAGAUCCGGAGGAACACCAGUGGCGAAGGCGACACGCUGGGCCGUACCUGACGCUAAGGAGCGAAAGCGUGGGUAGCAAACAGG
Molecule: ribosomal RNA, 253 nt
Filed under: uncultured bacterium
Lineage: Bacteria
Description: partial 16S ribosomal RNA
Rfam family: Bacterial small subunit ribosomal RNA
Source: RNAcentral